UACGUAGGGGGCAAGCGUUGUCCGGAUUUAUUGGGCGUAAAGGGUGCGUAGGCGGCGGAGUAAGUUGGGUGUGAAAUCCCGGGGCUCAACCUCGGAAUGGCAUUCAAUACUGCUUCGCUAGAGUACUGGAGAGGAGGCUGGAAUUUACGGUGUAGCAGUGAAAUGCGUAGAUAUCGUAAGGAAGGCCGGUGGCGAAAGCGAGCCUCUGGACAGUUACUGACGCUGAUGCACGAAGGCCAGGGGAGCAAACGGG
This 253-nucleotide ribosomal RNA is filed under the name uncultured bacterium. RNAcentral's name for it is "partial 16S ribosomal RNA". It matches the Rfam family "Bacterial small subunit ribosomal RNA", at positions 524 to 776 of the family's 1533-position model. The record is from RNAcentral.